AUGACCAUCUGACCUCAAAUCAGGUAGGACUACCCGCUGAACUUAAGCAUAUCAAUAAGCGGAGGAAAAGAAACUAACAAGGAUUCCCCUAGUAACUGCGAGUGAAGCGGGAUAAGCUCAAAUUUAAAAUCUGGCGGUUAUGCCGUCCGAGUUGUAUCCUGGAGAAGUGCUUUCUGCGCUGGACGU
Molecule: ribosomal RNA, 186 nt
Filed under: Crassisporus byrsinus
Lineage: Eukaryota; Fungi; Basidiomycota; Agaricomycetes; Polyporales; Polyporaceae
Description: Coriolopsis byrsina partial 28S ribosomal RNA
Rfam family: Eukaryotic large subunit ribosomal RNA
Source: RNAcentral